RNAcentral lists this ribosomal RNA (597 nucleotides) under Pigmentiphaga sp. LB_C1B2. RNAcentral describes it as "bacterial SSU rRNA". It matches the Rfam family "Bacterial small subunit ribosomal RNA", at positions 755 to 1355 of the family's 1533-position model. Lineage: Bacteria; Pseudomonadati; Pseudomonadota; Betaproteobacteria; Burkholderiales; Alcaligenaceae. The record is from RNAcentral.
GAAAGCGUGGGGAGCAAACAGGAUUAGAUACCCUUGGUAGUCCACGCCCUAAACGAUGUCAACUAGCUGUUGGGGGUCUUCGGACUUUGGUAGCGCAGCUAACGCGUGAAGUUGACCACCUGGGGAGUACGGUCGCAAGAUUAAAACUCAAAGGAAUUGACGGGGACCCGCACAAGCGGUGGAUGAUGUGGAUUAAUUCGAUGCAACGCGAAAAACCUUACCUACCCUUGACAUGUCUGGAAUCCCGAAGAGAUUUGGGAGUGCUCGAAAGAGAACCGGAACACAGGUGCUGCAUGGCCGUCGUCAGCUCGUGUCGUGAGAUGUUGGGUUAAGUCCCGCAACGAGCGCAACCCUUGUCAUUAGUUGCUACGAAAGGGCACUCUAAUGAGACUGCCGGUGACAAACCGGAGGAAGGUGGGGAUGACGUCAGGUCCUCAUGGCCCUUAUGGGUAGGGCUUCACACGUCAUACAAUGGUCGGGACAGAGGGCAGCCAACCCGCGAGGGGGAGCCAAUCCCAGAAACCCGAUCGUAGUCCGGAUUGCAGUCUGCAACUCGACUGCAUGAAGUCGGAAUCGCUAGUAAUCGCGGAUCAGCAU